This 497-nucleotide ribosomal RNA is filed under the name uncultured bacterium. RNAcentral describes it as "partial 16S ribosomal RNA". It matches the Rfam family "Bacterial small subunit ribosomal RNA", at positions 28 to 507 of the family's 1533-position model. The record is from RNAcentral.
GAUGAACGCUGGCGGCGUGCCUAACACAUGCAAGUCGAGCGAACAGACGAGGAGCCUGCUCCUCUGACGUUAGCGGCGGACGGGUGAGUAACACGUGGAUAACCUACCUAUAAGACUGGGAUAACUUCGGGAAACCGGAGCUAAUACCGGAUAAUAUAUUGAACCGCAUGGUUCAAUAGUGAAAGACGGUUUUGCUGUCACUUAUAGAUGGAUCCGCGCCGCAUUAGCUAGUUGGUAAGGUAACGGCUUACCAAGGCAACGAUGCGUAGCCGACCUGAGAGGGUGAUCGGCCACACUGGAACUGAGACACGGUCCAGACUCCUACGGGAGGCAGCAGUAGGGAAUCUUCCGCAAUGGGCGAAAGCCUGACGGAGCAACGCCGCGUGAGUGAUGAAGGUCUUCGGAUCGUAAAACUCUGUUAUUAGGGAAGAACAAAUGUGUAAGUAACUAUGCACGUCUUGACGGUACCUAAUCAGAAAGCCACGGCUAACUACGUG